UGGGGAAUUGUUCGCAAUGGGCGCAAGCCUGACGACGCAACGCCGCGUGGAGGAUGAAGAUUUUCGGAUCGUAAACUCCUGUCGAAUGGGACGAAUGGCUCGGCCGUGAACAACGGCCGGGAAUGACGGUACCGUGAGAGGAAGCCCCGGCUAACUCCGUGCCAGCAGCCGCGGUAAUACGGGGGGGGCAAGCGUUGUUCGGAAUUACUGGGCGUAAAGGGCUCGUAGGUGGCCACCUAAGUCCGACGUGAAAUCCCUCGGCUCAACCGGGGAACUGCGUCGGAUACUGGGUGGCUUGAAUCCGGGAGAGGGACGUGGAAUUCCAGGUGUAGCGGUGAAAUGCGUAGAUAUCUGGAGGAACACCGGUGGCGAAGGCGGCGUCCUGGACCGGUAUUGACACUGAGGAGCGAAAGCCAGGGGAGCAAACGGG
This 430-nucleotide ribosomal RNA is filed under the name uncultured Vicinamibacter sp. RNAcentral's name for it is "bacterial SSU rRNA". It matches the Rfam family "Bacterial small subunit ribosomal RNA", at positions 355 to 776 of the family's 1533-position model. Lineage: Bacteria; Pseudomonadati; Acidobacteriota; Vicinamibacteria; Vicinamibacterales; Vicinamibacteraceae. The record is from RNAcentral.